RNAcentral lists this ribosomal RNA (492 nucleotides) under uncultured bacterium. RNAcentral describes it as "partial 16S ribosomal RNA". It matches the Rfam family "Bacterial small subunit ribosomal RNA", at positions 29 to 507 of the family's 1533-position model. The record is from RNAcentral.
AGCGAACGCUGGCGGUAUGCCUAACACAUGCAAGUCGAACGGCAGCACAGUAAGAGCUGGCUCUUACGGGUGGCGAGUGGCGGACGGGUGAGGAAUACAUCGGAAUCUACUUUUUCGUGGGGGAUAACGUAGGGAAACUUAAGCUAAUACCGCAUACGACCUACGGGUGAAAGCAGGGGAUCUUCGGACCUUGCGCGAUUGAAUGAGCUGAUGUCGGAUUAGCUGGUUGGCGGGGUAAAGGCCCAGCAAGGCGACGAUGCGUAGCUGGGCUGCGAGGAUGAUCAGGCACACUAGAACUGAGAGACGGUCCAGACUCCUGAGGGAGGCAGCAGUGGGGAAUAUUGGACAAUUGGCGCAAGUCUGAUCCAGCCAGCCCGCGUGAUUCAAGAAGGCCUUCUGGUUGUUAAGCCCUUUUGUUGGGAAAGAAAAGCAGCAGGUUAAUACCCCGCUGUUCUGACGGUACCCAAAGAAUAAGCACCGGCUAACUUCGUG